This 1089-nucleotide ribosomal RNA is filed under the name uncultured Sulfurimonas sp. RNAcentral's name for it is "bacterial SSU rRNA". It matches the Rfam family "Bacterial small subunit ribosomal RNA", at positions 105 to 1210 of the family's 1533-position model. Lineage: Bacteria; Pseudomonadati; Campylobacterota; Epsilonproteobacteria; Campylobacterales; Sulfurimonadaceae. The record is from RNAcentral.
GGUGAGUAAUAUAUAGAUAACGUGCCUCUUAGUCUGGGAUAGCCAUUGGAAACGAUGAUUAAUACUAGAUACUCCUUCUUAUCACAUGAUAAGUCGGGAAAGUUUUUUCGCUAAGAGAUCGGUCUAUAUCGCAUCAGUUAGUUGGUGGGGUAACGGCCUACCAAGACAAUGACGCGUAGCGGGUUUGAGAGGAUGAUCCGCCACACUGGUACUGAGACACGGACCAGACUCCUACGGGAGGCAGCAGUGAGGAAUAUUGCACAAUGGGGGAAACCCUGAUGCAGCGACGCCGCGUGAGGAUGACGCAUUUCGGUGUGUAAACUCCUUUUAUGAGUCAAGAAAAUGACGGUAGCUCAUGAAUAAGCACCGGCUAACUCCGUGCCAGCAGCCGCGGUAAUACGGAGGGUGCAAGCGUUACUCGGAAUCACUGGGCGUAAAGGACGCGUAGGCGGGUUAUCAAGUCAGGUGUGAAAUCCUAUGGCUCAACCAUAGAACUGCACUUGAAACUGGUAACCUAGAGUAUGGGAGGGGCAGAUGGAAUUAGUAGUGUAGGGGUAAAAUCCGUAGAUAUUACUAGGAAUACCGAAAGCGAAGGCGAUCUGCUGGAACAUUACUGACGCUNCGGCGUGAAAGCGUGGGGAGCAAACGGGANAAGAAACCCCGGUAGUCCACGCCCUAAACGAUGAACACUAGUCGUCGGGGAGCUAGUCUCUUCGGUGAUGCACUUAACAGAUUAAGUGUUCCGCCUGGGNGNANGNNUACGGUCGCAAGAUUAAAACUCAAAGGAAUAGACGGGGACCCGCACAAGUGGUGGAGCAUGUGGUUUAAUUCAAAGAUACGCGAAGAACCUUACCUAGCCUUGACAUUGAUAGAACAUUUUAGAGAUAAGAUGGUGCCCUUCGGGGAACUUGAAAACAGAUGCUGCACGGCUGUCGUCAGCUCGUGUCAUGAGAAGUUGGGUUAAGUCCCGAAACGAGCGCAACCCUCGUCCUUAGUUACCAGAAGUCUGGCUGGGCACUCAAAGAAUACUGCCUUUAAAGAGGGAAGGAAAAUGACGACGACAUCUAGUCACAAUGGCCUUUAUUGCUA